CGAAAUUUUGUUUGACAGAAUAGGAUUAUUCCGCUUCAAAUGGUUAGGUUACCACGUGAAAUAAGUGAAUAUUUCUAUUGGGUUUGGGAGAUUUUCCUCUUUUGUCGUUUGCAUCUUUCCGUCUCCACCUUGCCCACCAGUCUCUUCUUUAGACUUGUCUUUCUUUUUUCUAAUGAAAGUAUUUGGAAACCCGCAAUAUUAACAUGGGUUUGGGUAAUAGUAAAUCCUAAAUCAAGGAAAUGCACUAGUUAGUGAUUUGAAUGUUUGAUCAACUAAAGAAUAACCUUCCCGAUGGAUUGUCCCAUACUGAGAGGAAAUUUUACAAAUUCUUGAAAAUUUGUCUAUAUGUAUUUGAAAAAAUUUGACAUAUCUAUUAGGCACUGUCAUAUUUGGUUUAGAAAUGAAAGAAAAUAAACAUGUUAUUGGGUGUACUCAUACAGAAUUAUACAAUUUGGAGUUUUUAUUUUUUUAUUUAUUUUUUCACCGAUAAGACUCUUGUAUGAAGACGUACAACAUAUAAAAUCCAAUCCUUGACUCCUUUAACUUCUACAACCUAAUUCUUUCAACCUGGUUAAUUGAUUGUUCCUCUGCACUUCUUUUUCCUCAGCAAAAAUAACAUAUUAGCACUGCAAAUAAUUGUGUAAUUGACUGUAGGAUUUUUAUAUGUUUUUUGAUGGCUCAAAGUUCUGCAUUUUUUUUGGGUAAGAUAGUACAUUGGUUUGAAAUUUAUUUCAAAAUUUGAUUGCAGACUCUUCUCAAUCCCCUUUAUCUACCUGGAAGUCGUAUUACAUCAUCUCAUUUUGACACAAAAGUUCGAGCUCUUGCCAGAAAAUAUUUGUGAAGCAAUCAUUUGAUUUGAUGGUGUCUGGAGCUUGCUGUUAUUUUUCUGCCAGCUGUGCUAUGUUAUCGUGUUAAUUGGCUGCCAGUGUUGCUAUGUUAUCAGGACAUUUUGUUUCAGUCAAAGUACACUUUUCAUGCAUGUCAAGAGGGGUUUAUCUAUUUUUUGAUAUAUUUUAUUGACUAAUUGUAGCUUAGAUCUUUUAUAGCUUCAUUUAGUUAUGGUUCUUCUUUUUAUCCUGUUUAAUCUCAGUUCAUGAAUAUUUGUUCAAAAGCUUUAGUGCAGUUCACUUUUUCUUUCAUCGUUAUCUAUCAACAUGCACAUAGAACAAUUCUUUUUUAUGUGCACUUCCAAUUACCAUCAGAUCUGAUUGAACUGCGUACCACCUCAGGCCAACUGGGUUUCAUACAUCUGGAACUUGGUUUUGAAGAAAAUGGUUAAAGUUCCUAUGGUCAUAAAUAGCUUAUGGGAUGAAUCAUUUUUUGUUUUCUCAAUAGUUCUGAAUUGCCUCUGAUCAUUAUAUGUCAUGUAUGAUGUGCGUUAGAAAAAAAUUCCAGUCUAAGGUCUCAUGUCUGGUUGUAGUUUGCCAAUUAUAUUUUAAAUUUUUUUUAAUUUCAACUUGUUUUCUAAAUAAUCUAUAAGACUAGACAUUUAUAUGUAUUAGGCCUUGUCCUUGAAUGAGGACCAUAUAGUUGGUGUGGCUGCUGCAGCAAGGAAAUUUUUGAAUAAAUGCACUGCACACCAAGGUAG
Molecule: long non-coding RNA, 1588 nt
Filed under: Olea europaea subsp. europaea
Lineage: Eukaryota; Viridiplantae; Streptophyta; Magnoliopsida; Lamiales; Oleaceae
Source: RNAcentral